UAGAUGUAUAUAGAUGAGUAGAUGUAUAUAGAUAUAUAGUUAGAUGUAGAUAUAUAUAGUUGAGUAGAUGUAUAUAGAUGUAUAUAGUUGAGAUGUAUAUAGAUGUAUAUAGUUGAGUAGAUGUAUAUAGAUGUAUAUAGUUGAGUAGAUGUAUAUAGUUGAGAUGUAUAUAGAUGUAUAUAGUUGAGUAGAUGUAUAUAGAUGUAUAUAGUUGAGUAGAUGUAUAUAGGUGUAUAUAGUUGAGAUGUAUAUAGAUGUAUAUAGUUGAGUAGAUGUAUAUAGGUGUAUAUAGUUGAGAUGUAUAUAGAUGUAUAUAGUUGAGUAGAUGUAUAUAGUUGAGUAGAUGUAUAUAGAUGUAUAUAGUUGAGUAGAUGUAUAUAGAUAUAUAUAGUUGAGUAGAUGUAUAUAGGUGUAUCUAGUUGAGUAGAUGUAUAUAGGUGUAUAUAGUUGAAUGCAUGUAUAUACAUGUAUAAAGUUGAAUAGAUGUUAGCGUCGCAUCGUGACUGUGUUGGUCGUUUGUUAGAUAAGUAAAAGUAUUUGUGGAGAGCUUAUCUCAGCGCUAAAUCUUUUUUCUGUUUUUUUUUCCCCUUUGGUAUCAUCAUUUCUGAUCAGGGUGUGAGUCUCUGGAACGAUAAACAGGUCUUCUUCUUUUUUUUUUUUUCUUGUUCAUAUUGGGAAUUGAGAACUUUGCUAAUCUCUUUAUCUGUCUUUCGCCACUACCUGAGAAGGGCGUUACACUCGGUCGCUGUGAGCCCUCAGGUGAACAGGUGUACGUUUUCCCAUUGACUCCCGUUUCCUCAUUUCUACCUUCUGCCAUGUUAACAGGAAUUAAAAAUCAUGCUGUUCCUGUUCUUCAGCUUCUCAGUCACCUGAAUCUCACCUGGGCUGCAUUCCAGUACUGUUGCUAAUCUGCGCGCUCAGACCUGCAGCUCGAU
Long non-coding RNA from Ictalurus punctatus (channel catfish), 935 nucleotides. The record is from Ensembl. Lineage: Eukaryota; Metazoa; Chordata; Actinopteri; Siluriformes; Ictaluridae.